This 502-nucleotide ribosomal RNA is filed under the name uncultured bacterium. Its description in RNAcentral is "partial 16S ribosomal RNA". It matches the Rfam family "Bacterial small subunit ribosomal RNA", at positions 30 to 522 of the family's 1533-position model. The record is from RNAcentral.
AUUGAACGCUGGCGGCAGGCUUAACACAUGCAAGUCGAGCGGGGUGAUGGUGCUUGCACUAUCACUUAGCGGCGGACGGGUGAGUAAUGCUUAGGAAUCUGCCUAUUAGUGGGGGACAACAUCUCGAAAGGGAUGCUAAUACCGCAUACGUCCUACGGGAGAAAGCAGGGGAUCACUUGUGACCUUGCGCUAAUAGAUGAGCCUAAGUCGGAUUAGCUAGUUGGUGGGGUAAAGGCCUACCAAGGCGACGAUCUGUAGCGGGUCUGAGAGGAUGAGCCGCCACACUGGGACUGAGACACGGCCCAGACUCCUACGGGAGGCAGCAGUGGGGAAUAUUGGACAAUGGGGGGAACCCUGAUCCAGCCAUGCCGCGUGUGUGAAGAAGGCCUUGUGGUUGUAAAGCACUUUAAGCGAGGAGGAGGCUCUUUUGGUUAAUACCCAAGAUGAGUGGACGUUACUCGCAGAAUAAGCACCGGCUAACUCUGUGCCAGCCGCCGCCUAA